RNAcentral lists this long non-coding RNA (33719 nucleotides) under Triticum aestivum (bread wheat). Its description in RNAcentral is "long non-coding RNA (TAES_LNC005550)". The stretch from base 19354 to 19478 matches the Rfam family "MIR1120/MIR1122 microRNA precursor family". The record is from RNAcentral. Lineage: Eukaryota; Viridiplantae; Streptophyta; Magnoliopsida; Poales; Poaceae.
CAAAAAAAUGUACCCAUACCUAAAUUCUGUCUACUGUGAUCAAUAAUUUCCUUUAUUUUUUAGAGUGGAUUUCUUUUAAAUCCAAAGUCACUGGAAUGUGUCAUCCUUAUGUGACUGGAAUUGCCAUAAAAACGUCAGGACAUAAGUGCCACAUACCUGACGUGUGGCACCUAUCAUUUAGGUAAAAUAAUAAUGAUAGGCUGUGUGUUUCUAAAAAAUAAUUAGUAGUAUAACCCAAAAGGUUCUUGCAGACCUAAUUUGAGAGAGAAACUACUGAAUGCACUCACUGUAGUUCCUGUUGGAAAUUAUUGGGGUGGUCGCGGUCACAUGCAUGAUGCAUGGCUGGCCGGCUUAGAUUUCCUUUCGUACGAGUAGAAAAUAGAAAAGCAAGUAUAUACAUAAUAAAGAAGAAAGAUGCCCCUCCACCAGCUGAUGCCCGGGCGGGUGAUGACGGUGGAGUGCGCGUGUGGCGACCGCCGUACCAAAAAGGACCCGUUCCGUUCUGUACUACCCCUACGUCCUCAGUACACACCUGGCCCUGAUAAGCACUCUCCCAGAAGAAACGAUAAGAUAUGAUGAUGGGGAACAGCCGAGCCGAGCUGAUCUGAUCUGAUCUCAUCCCAUCUCGCCUCCUUUUCCGUUUGGAAGGUUGCUUGAUAGCCUCCCUCCCAGCCCGGCCCUUUCCUGGGAAGGCUCCAUCUGCGGCUCCGCCUGGCUGUCCCUGCCUCCGCCUCCGGUACCUACCUGCCGACGCAUCAGCGGGCCCACCCGUCUGUUGUCCCCAUCCGGCAGUGGCACCCUCACGUCCACGCCAUGUCCGUGGGUGCGGAUAAGGACUGUUUUCAAGAUCUCCCAAAGAGAUUUGAAAGAACAAAAACUACUCCCUUCCUUCCGUGAAAAGUGUAUGUAUAAUUUUUUUAAGAUAAAUUACAAAGUGGAGUAAAACAUUGCAUUGAAAAGGUUCAAGCCGUCAUCUCUCCUCUUUAAUUACCCAAUCCCAAUGAGAUAAGUGCGUGUAGAAAUUAAGAAAACGAUGUGUAGAAUGUUAUCGAUCUUGAUUAUCGCGUGAUGAGAGAGAAACAUGUUUUUCUGCUUUAAAGUGCAAUGGUAAUAUAAAAGUACAUUCUUUUGUGGUCAAAUUUUAAAUCCAAAUAUACACUCUUCACCGGACGGAGGGAAUAUGUUGACAUUCAUGGAAUGGGACCAGUCUACAAAAAAGGACAUCUCUGUCGGCCCAGUGAAAACCAGGGUGCCACGGGCCCACUGCCUACGGCUUAGGAAGCGACACCUAAAGAAGACCUUGAGAGGCGGCCCAGCCGUGGGCGCCGCGAAGCAAGCCACCUCGUGAGGACCAUGCCUCGUGAGGACCCUCGCCACGAGGCGAGACUACCGAGGACAACAUCAAGCGGCCNNNNNNNNNNNNNNNNNNNNNNNNNNNNNNNNNNNNNNNNNNNNNNNNNNNNNNNNNNNNNNNNNNNNNNNNNNNNNNNNNNNNNNNNNNNNNNNNNNNNNNNNNNNNNNNNNNNNNNNNNNNNNNNNNNNNNNNNNNNNNNNNNNNNNNNNNNNNNNNNNNNNNNNNNNNNNNNNNNNNNNNNNNNNNNNNNNNNNNNNNNNNNNNNNNNNNNNGACCCCCCGCAAGGCCCUUCGCGCGGGAGGCUGCACGGCGUCGGUCGCGUGGCCAUGUGCCCAACACGUGGGUGACGCGCCGCGCCAGAUGAUGCCAGCGAAGACCGUGCCAGCAGGCGCUGCCAGAGUAGAUUUCCUCUUUGGUGAUAAGGGAGCAACGGCGCCUGCCUCCCCACAGAGCGAGCUCCAAAGGUUACCACUUCGGUGCAAGAAGGUUGGGAAGACACGGCGCACUAGGACAGGCAUCAUCGCUAGGCCAACCCGCGUGUCAGAAUAGCGUCUUUAACAGGAGAAGACAACUUUUUUCAGGCUAAGGCUGAGCAUCCGUCCCACUUUGAAUUGCCAUUGUGUGGCAACCCAUCCCGCAAAUGUUCUCGAGGGAAGAGGACCAAGGCAACUAUAAAAGGGCCAGUGCUGCCACCAUAGAAGGGGAUCGCGCAAUUGACCCCCGAGACUCACCUUGUAGCUCCAAGAGCACCGUCUCCACAAGCAAUCCCACGAAGCAGGAAUAGGGUUUUACACCUCACGGUGGCUCGAAACUGGGUAGCUCGUUGUGUCCCUGUCGUGUCUUGCGUCCCUCCGUCGUGCCUCGCUUACUGUAGCCACGCCAAGCUCAUCGUCUAGUGCUAGGUCACGAACCACGACCCAGAGUUCGAACAAGGGUUUUGGAGCAUUUCCUGUAGCAGAAAUCAAUCCACCGACAUUUGGCGCGCCAGGUAGGGGCCUUGGUUUCCUGCCUUCAGCCUCGAUAUUGACAUGGCCGACACACGACGCGAGCGCGCCCUGCGUAGGGCCUGUCAGGUCUAGACGGAGCCCAUCAUCAACUACAACCUUCCGGGUCUAGACGAAGCAAAUGAUUCACAAAAGGAAGCUACUAUCUCCGAGUCAAGUCCAUAUUUAGUACUAAACUUAUGAAAAGCAUUUGUUUCCAUAAAAGAUUCAACACAAUCAAACUCAAGUUUUACACCUCACUCAUUACCUUUGUUGAAUUCUCAAUCUUUAGAGUUGCGUUUAAUUCUUUCCAGAAGAUACCAUUUGAAUUCAAUAGUUUUCUUCAUAAAGGAGCCAACAGAAGAAGUAUCGAGUAUGGAUCGAUCAUUAUGAGAAAGCCGAGCAUAAAAGUUUUGAAUAAUAUUUUUUUCUUGAGAGCUCAUGAUUGGGGCAUGUGUGCAUCCUGGACUUAAGCCUCCCCCAAGCUUGAGUGAUAAUUUCGCCUUCACGAGGCCAAUAUAUAUAUAUAUAUAUAUAUAUAUAUAUAUAUAUAUAUAUAUAUAUAUAUAUAUAUAUAUAAUUCUGGUCAUAAUGAACCAAAUGCAUAUGAUAGAACUUAUAGUGAAACUCCAAUUUCAACCGGUUCCAUUCUCAUGUUCCAAUUGAAGCAAAUAUGCCCUAGAGGCAAUAAUAAAGUUGUUAUUUAUAUUUCCUUAUAUCAUGAUAAAUGAUUAUUAUUCAUGCAAGAAUUGUAUUAAUCGGAAACUUAGUACAUGUGUGAAUACAUAGACAAACAGAGUGUCCCUAGUAUGCCUCUACUAGACUAGCUCAUUAAUCAAAGAUGGUUAAGUUUCCUGACCAUAAAUAUGUGUUGUCAUUUGAUGAACGGGAUCACAUCAUUAGAGAAUGAUGUGAUGGACAAGACCCAUCUGUUAGCUUAGCAUAAUGAUUGUUUAGUUUUAUUGCUAUUGCUUUCUUCAUGACUUAUACAUGUUCCUCUGACUAUGAGAUUAUGCAACUCCCGAAUACCGGAAGAACACCUUAUAUGCUAUCAAACGUCACAACGUAAUUGGGUGAUUAUAAAGAUGCUCUACAGGUGUCUCCAAUGGUGUUUGUUGAGUUGGCAUAGAUCGAGAUUAGGAUUUGUCACUCCAUGUAUCGGAGAGGUAUCUCUGGGCCCUCUCGGUAAUGCACAUCACUAUGAGCCUUGCAAGCAAUGUGACUAAUGAGUUAGUUGCGGAAUGAUGCAUUACAGAACGAGUAAAGAGACUUGCCGGUAACGAGAUUGAACUAGGUAUGAUGAUACCGACGAUCGAAUCUCGGUUAAGUAACAUAGUGAUGACAAAGGGAACAACAUAUGUUGUUAUGCGGUUUGACCGAUAAAGAUCUUCAUAGAAUAUGUAGGAGCCAAUAUGAGCAUCCAGGUUCUGCUAUUGGUUAUUGACCGGAGAUGUGUCUCGGUCAUGUCUACAUAGUUCUCGAACCCAUAGGGUCCGCACGCUUAACGUUCGAUGACGAUUUGUAUUAUGAGUUAUGUGGUUUGAUGACCGAAGUUUGUUCGUUGUCCCGGAUGAGAUCAUGGACAUGACGAGGAGUCUUGAAAUGGUGAGAGGUGAAGAUUCAUAUAUUGAAAGGUUAUAUUCGGACACCGGAAUGGUUUCGGGAAGUAUCAGAUAAGUUUCGAAGUACCGGGGGUUACCGGACCCCCCCCCCCCGGAAGUUAAUGGGCCACACAUGGGCCUUAGUGGAGGAGAGAGGGUCAGCCAGGGAGGUGCCCCCCCCUUGCCAAUCCCAAUUGGACAAGGGGUGGGGGCGGUGCCCCCCUUUCCCUCUCCUACUCCUCUUCUCUUUUCCUCUUUGUUAUUCCGAAAAAGGUAAAAGGAAAGGGGAAUCCUACUUGGACUAGGGAGUCCUAGUAGGCCUCCCCACACCUGGCGCACCCCCUUGGGCCGGCCACCUCUCCUCCCCCCUUUAUAUAUGUGGGAAGGGGGCACCCCAAAGACACACCAAGUCUUCUCUUAGCCGUGUGCGGUGCCCCCUCCAUAGUUACACACCUCGGUCAUAUCGUUGUAGUGCUUAGGCGAAGCCCUGCACCGGUAACUUCAUCAUCACCAUCGACACGUUGUCGUGCUGAAGAAACUCUCCCUCGUCCUCAACUGGAACAAGAGCUCGAGGGACGUCAUCAUGCUGAACGUGUGCUGAACACGGAGGUGCCGUACGUUCGGUGCUAGGAUCGGUUGGAUCACGAAGACGUUCAACUACAUCAAACGAAUUACUAAACGCUUCCGCUUUCGUUCUACGAGGGUACGUGGACACACUCUUUACUCUCGUUGCUAUGAAUCUCCUAGAUAGAUGUUGCGUGAUCGUAGGAAUUUUUUUGAAAUACUACGUUCCCCAACACCAAUAUCAUCCAAUAGCCUAUACCAUGUCAAUGCCUUCCCUCCAAAGACAAUUGGAAAACCUUCUUCUUAACCCCAUCCUCGGAUAAACCUGCAAGCUUAAACAAUCGAUAAAGUUCUUCUGCAUAGAUUAAGUGCAUAUCACGAUGUACUGUUCGUCUGUUCCAUCUCCUGCAUAAGGAUUAGCUAGCAAUUUUUCUAACAUACCCGAAGGAAUCUCUUAAUAAAUAUUUUCAGUAGGUUCAGUGGGUGGAAGGGCUACUCUUAAUUCUAUUUUUCGAGGUGAAGAUACCCCAAACAAACCACUCAAAGGAUUAUUUUCCAUAGUGACAAGUGACAGAAAAUUUCAGCACGUAAUAUAAAUGUUUCCUUACCAAGUUCCACUUACCAAAGGCGCUUCACUCCCCGGCAAUGACGCCAGAUAAGAGUCUUGAUGACCCAUAAGUAUAGGGGAUCAAUCAUAGUCCUUUCGAUAAGUAAGAGUAUCAAACCCAACGAGCAACUGAAGGAAAUGACAAGCGGUUUUCAGCAAGGUAUUCUCUGCAAGUGUGGGAAGUAACAGUGAUAGAUAGUUUUAUAGCAAGAUAAUUCGUAACAAGUAACAAGUAGAAAUAGUAACAAAGGUGCAGCAAGGUGGCCCAAUAUUUUUUAUAGCAAAGGACAAGCAUGUACGUUAUCUUAUAAUAAGCAAACAAUUCCCGAGGGCACAUGGGAAUUGUUGUCUAGUCAUGUUCAUCAUGUUUAGUUGAUUCGCAUCGCUACUUUGAUAAUUUGAUAUGUGGGUGGAUCGGUGCUUGAGUGAUGUUAUUACUUGAAUAGGCAACCCACUUAUGAUUACCCCCUCUCGCAAGCAUCUGCAACUAUGAAAGAAGAAUUAAGAUAAAUCUAAUCAUAGCAUGAAACAUGUGGAUCCAAAUCAGCCCCUUACGGAAUAACGCAUAAACUAGGGUUUAAACUUCUGUCACUCUAGCAACCCAUCAUCUACUUAUUACUCCACAAUGCCUUCCCUUAGGCCCAAGUAUGGUGAAAUGUCAUGUAGCCGACGUUCACAUGACACCACUAAAGGAAGCAGCAACAUACAUAUCAUCAAAAUAUCAAACGAAUACCAACGUCACAUGAUUACUUAUGACAAGACUUCUCCCAUGUCCUCAAGAACAAAAGUACUACUCACAAAUCAUAUUCAUGUUCAAGAUCAGAGGGGUAUUGAAUUUUCUUGAGGAUCUAAACAUUUAAUCUUCCACCAAAUAAACCAACUAACAUCAACUACAAGAUGUAAUCAACACUACUAGCAACCCACAUGUACCAGUCUAAGGUUUUGGGACAACGAUUGAAUACAAGAGAUGAAAUAGGGUUUGAGAUGAGAUGGUGCUGGUGAAGAUGUUGAUGAAGAUUGGUCCUCCCACGACGAGAGGAUCGUUGGCGAUGUUGAUCGCUUCAAUUUCCCCUCCCAAAGGAAAGUUUCCCGGCGGAAUCGCUCCGUCGGAGGGCAAAAGUUUCCCCAGCGGUGCUUAGUCCUGAAAGUCUCUUCUUCUUAUUCUUUUUUCUAGGGAAAAUGGCUUCAUAUAGCAGAAGAUUGGCACCGUAGGCCUGCCAGGAGGGCCCACAAGCUCGGGGGGGUGUUCCCAGGGGGUAGGGCAUGCCCCCAGGCUUGUCGCUUCCUGGUGGGUCCCCUCCUGGUAUUUCUUCCUCCAAUAUUAUUUAUAUAUUCCAAAAAAAUCUGUGUUAAUUUUCAGGUCAUUUGGGGUUGUGCGGAGUAGCCAUCUCUGUUGUGGCCCUUUCCGAUCCAGAAUUCGAGUUGCCGACAAUCUCCCUCUUCAUGUCAAACUUGCAAAAUAAGAGAGAAGAAGGCAUAAGAAUUGCAUCAUAAAGUGAAAUAACAGUCCAGAACACAAUAAAUAACAAUAGGAAAACAUGAUGCAAAAAUGGAUGUAUCAUAGGGAUAGCGUUCUUUAGCAUUUCUAUUUUGAAAUGCAUGAUUGUUUGUUGGUAUGCAUGAGUAUUGAUUUAUGCAUAUCAAAUUAUAGACUACUUCUUUGAAUCAUCUGGAUCUUAAUAUCCAUACCAUAAAAUAAAGAUUACAUGAUGCACAUGUUAGGUAGCAUUCCACAUCAAAAAUUCUGUUUUUAUCAUUUACCUACUCCAGGACGAGUAGGAAUUAAGCUUGGGGAUGUUGAUACGUCUCCAACGUAUCUAUAAUUUUUUUGGUUUCAUGCUAUUAUAUUAUCAAUCUUAGAUACUUUAUAUACAAUUUUAUAUCAUUUUUGGGACUAAACUAUUAACUCAGUGCCUACUGCCACUUGUUGUUUUCUGCUUGUUUUUGGUUUUACAGAAAAUCUAUACCAAUCGGAGUCCCAACACGACGAAACUUUUUGACAAUUUUAUUCUAGACAUAAGAGACCCUAGAAGGUUCGGGGUGGGACCAAAAGAUCUAUGAGGAGAUGGCAAGGCAACAGGGCGCGCCCUGAUGUCUUGUGGGGCCCUUGUCACUCCGUCUAACCUAAUUUUAGUGCUAUAAAUUUCCAGAUUUUGGAAACCUCCCAGAGCAUCCAUCAAAACAUUUUGUCUACCGUCGCAACUGCAAUGCCAUUUGGAGGCUUUUUCUGGUACUCUACUAGAGGGGGAGUCGACCAUGGAGGGCCUCUACAUCAACCUUGUUGCACCUCCGAUGAUGUGUGAGUAGUUUACCACAGGCCUACGGGUAGUGGAGGAGCUAGCAUUUGACAACAGGGUGGUUCGCCGCAAAAAAAUUGAUAAGAAAAAUGACAUGUAAAUGUUCUAACUGAUUACCAAUAUCACAUAGAAAUAUAUCAAUAUGGUCUUACAAACCCACUAAAAUUCUCAAUUAAAUCUUAGUUUUGUAUAAAGAAGCAUACAUAGUAUAUACUACAUGGACAAUAAUACAUACCUUAAGAAUCCAAAAGACUACAUUUCUCGCCUACGCUUUCGCAUUGCCAUGAAGGUAUCAAUUAUAUUAUAUUCAUAGCUUCUUUCUCGAAAAGAGAAACAAUGUUUCCAGUCCUCUUCAUUCCCAAAAAUUCUACAUUUUUUACUUUCUAUCAAUAAAGCUAAUUGAGGCAGAAUAGAUAUGCAAAAUUAUAUAUGUGUUGAUGUACUGGAUAGCUUAGUGCAAAAACCCUAAAUCAGAAUUUGGGGGUAUUUUGAUACUUUAAAUCAGGUUGCUCUUGCAGUCCUGCUCGCUUGCUGGCUUGCUACGACCAGGGACUACUGUUGCUGCUACCGGCUUUGCAGGGGGCGGGGCAGGGCAAGGCAGCCCGACAGAGGAGUCAGGCAGAGGAAUGGCGAGGUGGUUGUACACCUGCCUUGUGCAAGGGCGUCGGGAGAGGCACAAGUGGUUCCGCUCGAUGUGGACGAUGGCCUGUGGGUGCGUUCGUCUAAGUGUUAUUGGGCCUUUUUCUUUUCUCUAGUCGAGCUAGAAAUGCAUAGCUAUAUAGGAUGAUGCAAAAUCCCAGGGUGUACCGUGGCCCACCCUGGCCACCCUAUAGCUCUGCUCCUGCCUACGGGUCCAUAUUGAUUAGCCAUAUCCCCCUCUCUCUGAUCUUUAAUAUAGUGUUCUCCUCGGAGUUUUAUUCGAUGUAAUCUUGUUUUGUGGUGUGUUUGUUGGGAUCUGAUGAAUUGUUGGUUUAUGAUCAGAUUAUUCAUUGAAAGUAAUUGAGUCUUUUAUGAACUUUAUGAUGUGUGAUUGUUAUAGCUUUGUAUUUCUCUCCGACCUAUCCGUUUGGUUUGGCAAACUAGAUUGAUUUAUCUUCAGCGGGAGAGGUGCUUUGGGGUAGGUUCAAUCUUGCGUUGUUCUCACCCCGUGUUAGAAGAGGUAGCGAGCCACGUAUUUGUAUUGUUGCUACUAAGGGUAAAAUAAUGGAGUUUAAUCAUAUUGCUUGGCUUUAUUCGGUCUACAUUAUGUCAUCAUACUCUCCACGCAUUACUCUGUUUGUUAUGAACUUAAUACGUAGAGAGGCAAGCAUAAAAGCACUCUCGAAGUGGAGUAGUAGUAGUAGAUGCAGGCAGGAGUCGGUCUACUUGUCACUGACGUAAUGCCUAUGUACAUUAUCAUGCCAUGAAUAGCGUCAUAACUAUGCGCUUUUCUAUUAAUUGCCCAACACUAAUUUGUUUACCCAUUGUAUGCUAUCUUUAUGAGAGAGAUGCCUCUAGUGAAAACUAUGGCCCCAGGAUCUAUUUUAAUCAUAUUGCUAAAACCAAAAAUAUCUUGGUGCAAUUUUAUUUCUUUUAUUUUACUUUGCAAUUUAUCUAUCACCUAUUACUAGGUUUGAUCCUUGCAAUUAACUAGUACAAGGGGAUUGACAACCCUCUUUCUCAUGUUGGGUACUAUUGACGGGUCUUUACAUGGUUCUCCUAUUGGUUCGAUAACCUUGGUUCUCUACUGAGGGAAAUACUAUGCAAUACUAUAUUUGUUCACCCUUCUUCUUCAGGGAAAAUCCCAACACAUCUCACAAGUAGCAGGAGGCCAUGACAGGUGUGGUGCCGAGAGGAGAUAGGGAGUGGAGGAUGUUUGGAUGCGGUUGUAGCCGAGCCUGAAGUUUAAAUAGCGGGAAAAUGGCAGGGCAAGCGAACAAGGUGGUUAAUGGUGGGUGGUAGAUGGAUUGACAGGUGGCGCCGGACCAGGUUCCUGACAACCGCACAUGUUUAAUUUAGGGAGGCAGACAGACGGGUCGUCCUUUGAACGCGCAGCAGCUGCGUGCACCGGGAAGCAUCGCUGGCGGCGCUCUCAGCCGGCAUGUGAUACGUCCAUUUUGCAUCAUGUUUUCUUACUGUAAUUUAUAAUGUUUUUAUCCAUAAUAAUGCUUUUUGGAGUAAUUCUAAUGCAUUUUCUCUCAUAAUUUGCAAGGAACACACUAAGAGGGAGAAUUCCGGCAGCUGGAAAUCUGGACCUCGAAAAGCUACGUUAGGCCACCUAUUCUGCACAACUCCAAAUGAGUUGAAACUUUACGGAGAUUUUUUAUGGAUUAUUUGAGAAAUAAUGGAGUCAAUAAACACCAGAGGAGGGCCACCAGGUGGGCACAACACACCUGGGCGCGACAGGUGUUGGGGAACGUAAUAUUUCAAAAAUUUACCUACGAUCACGCAAGAUCUAUCUAGGAGAAGCAUAGCAACGAGCGGGGAGAGUGUGUCCAUGUACCCUCGUAGACCGAAAGCGGAAGCUUUCAGUAACGCGGUUGAGUAGUCGAAUGUCUUCGCGAUCCAUGGACGGUAAUCAUUGAUGUUGGGAAGAGGGUAUUUGUUCUUGAUGGUCUUCUUGUUCACUGGACGGUAAUCAACACAAAGUCGGUCCGUUCCAUCCUUCUUCUUCACAAAAAGAACACCACAACCCCACGGAGAAGAACUAGGCCGGAUGAGACCCAUUCUUUCUUGCUCAUCGAGUUGCUUCUUCAGCUCCUUCAACUCUUCAGGUCCGAGCUUGUAAGGACGUUUGCACACAGGUUCCGUACCAGGCUCAAGAUCAAUAACGAAUUCAACUGGCCGGUGCGGAGGCAUUCCUAGGAGCUCUUCUAGAAAGACGUAUUGAUAUUCGCAAACAACUGGAAUUUGCGAGAUGGCGUCCAAUUCACCCUUCUCAUUGAGAGAAAAUAGACGAAUGGUAUCAUCACGAGCGGCAAAGACAAUUACAUCCUCAGACGAAUGAGUCAAUUGAAUCUGCCUGGCUGCACAAUCAAGCUGAGCCUUGUGCUUAGAAAGCCAGUCCAUCCCGAGAAUAAGAUCAAUAUCCGAGUUACCAAGAACCAUAGGAGAAGCCAGAAACUUGAAAUCACCCAUCAUGAUAGAAACAUCCGGAACUAUUGAAGUAGCCCUCAUAGACUUAGCCGGAGAAAACACUCCCAUAGGUUUACCCAACAUUUGUGAAACGAAGUCAUGCUUGGAAACAAAUGAUCUUGACAUGAAACAAUGCGAUGCACCAGUGUCAAAAAGAACUUUUGCUGGAAAAGAGUUAACUGGAAAGUUACCCAUGAUCACAUCUGACGAGUCCUCUGCCUGAGCUGCAUUCAUCAAAUUCACCUUGGCAUGCUUGGGGUUAUGCUUGACCACAGCUGUACUUGUCGAUCUGACAGGAGGAGGAGGAGGAAGACGCCUCUGGUUGAAACACUUGUUGGCAUAGUGAGCCUUCUGUUGGCACUUGUUGCACGUGACCUCUGAAAGCGGACGGUGAUAUGGAGCACUUGAUCUUGGAGCUUGAGACGAAGCCUUGUUCUGAAAGCCAGGGUUGGGUGGGUGGGAAGAACAACUGCCACCUUUGCUCUUCUGCUGAUACGGCUGACGGAACGGAGGAGGAGGAGGAAGCCAAAACUUCUACUGCUUGGCCACUUGAGUAGAGGAAGAAGGAGUAACAUCUCUGACUCGCUUCCUGGAAGCAUCACACCUCAACUGAGCAGCCUCUUGCUUCAGUGCCAUGUUGUAGAACUCAUCGUACCUCAGGGCUUAAAGAGAACAAGAGCGAGCUGAAUAUCUUCUCUGAGACCACCCCUGAACUGAUAUAUCAUGCUCUUCUCAUCAGGCACGUCCUGCUUGGCAAAGCGGGCAAGCUUUUGGAACAACUUGUUGUAGUCAUAGACAGACAAAGAGCCUUGCUUCAGAUUGCGGAAUUCCUCACGCUUGCUUUCAAUCACGCUCUGGGGAAUAAGAUGAGCUCGGAAAUCUCGACGGAAAUCAUCCCAAGUGAUAACACGUCCACCUCUGGAGUCCUUGUAUUGCUAGAACCAUUCUGCAACUUGAUCUUUGAGUUGGAAGGAAGCGAACUUCACAAAGUCCUCAGGCCUGACAUUGCUGCACUCGAAAUGCUUACACAGAUCCACAAGCCAAUCAUCAACAUCGGUUGCCUCAACACAAUUGCUGAAAGUCUUUGGCCCGUUAGCAAGGAACUGGUUGAGUGUAGCAAAGUGACUCUGAUUGCUGCCUUGAUUCCCUUGACUGCUUUGAUUGCGCUCUUGAAGAAUUUGCAUGAUCAGCUGAGUGUUUGCAUUGGUUGCGGCCAUCACAGCUUGCCAUGCCUCUGGAGGAGGUGGGGGUGGUGGCGGAUCAGGAUUCGGAGUCGUGCGCGUUGGAGGAGCCAUCCUGAAGAGGUUGACCACCAUUAGCACAUUGACAGACAAAUAUUGAAGCUGAACCCAACGGAAUGAAAAUGGCAACAUAUAGUCUUCACAUCCGAACAAAAUGAAUGAAUGCAUUCCUCUUGAAGUGGUCACAUAUCCCUAAAUUGAGAAGCCACGUAGAAUUAAGGUAGAGAAAUAAUAAACAAGGUACGGAUCAAGAACGAAUAAUCGGUAAGAAAUCCCAAUCUCAAACCAAUAUCCGUGGAAGAAGAACUAGAGCUACUAGAAUUCCCACCUAUGAAACUCCCGAACCUUUCCGGUUAUGCAAUCAGGUGUUGGGGAUACAUGGGAAGCAUAAUAUCUCACCCAAACUAGCAAAUCCUACAUCCAACUGUAUCCAUCCUUCAACACAUAACCAAGAAACCUUCGGAAAUCAUCUACCUCAACCUUCGAAAAGCCUCCGUUAUACAAGUUAUGGCAAUACUCCCGAACUCCCGCCCCAGUACUGGGUGGCGUCGAGGUUAUCUCACCAACGAACUGCAUAAAAGAGAUUUUUGAUGUCGGCGAAAAUAUCUCAAGUAUUCCAGAAUUGCAACGAUAAAAUUAUGAUGACAACACCUCAGAGCUCAACUCCCCGGGACACUUCCACUAAACCCCUGACAGGAGGCACCAAGACAAUGUUCUCAUCAUAAGCCAUCGGAACGAUUCCAAGAUACUCGGGUGAUCCUAAAAUUCUUUUUUAGUGAAAUUUGAGAAGAGAAGAGUCAAAACUCUACGUCAGGAUGCCUUACCAGAGCGAUGAGGAGACUGGGAAGUAAAAAAGAAUUCCUAAACUCUCCGAUAUAUAAUUCCUAAAUAACUCAAAACAUUUUUCUAGACACAACUCGGCCGCUAAAAACGAUCAAGCAAUGGGGCUCCUAAGGUCGGGGAAGGCUCUGAUUACCAACUUGUAACACCCUCGAUGCGACUAUAGCUCCCACGUGUCGAGGCACGACUUAGAGACAUAAUCGCAUUGAAGGCAUAUGUCGCAAGUUAGGCAAUCUUCACAACAUCCCAUGUAAUAUGAAUAAUAAAGGGGAGAACAUAGUUGGCUUACACUCGCCACGUCAAUCAAGAACAUAAAUAACAUUACAUCAUCCAAAACACUCAUGGCCCGACUACGGCGCCAAAAUAGAAGAGAACCCAACAUGCGACACGGUCCCAAUCACCCCCAACUGGGCACCACUACUGAUCGUCGGGAAAUGAAACAUAGUAUCGCUGAGAGUCUUCGUCGAACUCCCACUUGAGCUCAUACGCGUCUCCUGGAGCGGAAUCACCUGGACCUGCAUCUGGUAUAGUAGGAAUCUGUGAGCCACAGGGACUCAGCAAUCUCGCACCCUCGCGAUCAAGACUAUUUAAGCUUAUAGGAAGGGUAAGGCAAAUAUAUGUGGAGCUGCAUCAAGCGACUAGCAUAUAUGGUGGCUAUUUUAUUUGCAAAAGAGAGCGAGAAGAGGAGGCAAAGCGCGAGCGUGAAAAACUAGAGGAUCAACCUGCGCAAGCAUUACUCCAACACCGUGUCCACUUCCCGGACUCCACCGAGAAGAGGCCGUCAUGGUGACACACUCAGUUGAUUCAUUUUAAUUAAUUAAGGUUCAAGUUAUCUACAAUCGGACAUUAACAAAUUCCCAUCUGCCCAUAACCGCGGGCACGGCUUUCAAAAGUUCAAUCCCUGCAGGGGAGUCCCAACUUAGCCCAUGACAAGCUCUCACGGUCAACGAAGGAAUAGACCUCCUCCCAAGACGUUCCGAUCAGACUCGGUAUCUCGGUAAUUCAAGACAACUCCGACAAUGAUAAAACAAGUCCAGCAACACCACCCGCUGUGCCGACAAAUCCCGAUAGGAGCUGCACAUAUCUCGUUCUCAUGGCACACCAGAUAAGCUAAGCGUACGGGAGCCAACGUAACCCAAGUUGCCGAGGGACGGCCUCGCACGGUGCUCUAGGUUGGACCAACACUCAGAGGAGCACUGGCCCGGGGGGGGGGGGUUAAAAUAAGAUGACCCUUGAAUCCGCGAAACCCAAGGGAAAGGCUAGGUGGCAAAUGGUAAAACCAAGGUUGGGCACUGCUGGAGGAGUUUUAUUCAAGGCGGACAGUCAAGGGGUUCCCAUUAUAACCCAACCGCGUAAGGAACGCAAAAUUCGGGAACAUAACACCGAUAUGACGGAAACUAGGGCGGCAAGAGUGGAACAAAACACUAGGCGAGAGGCCGAGCCUUCCACCCUUUACCAAGUAUAUAGAUGCAUUAAGAUAACAUAGCAAUAUAAUGAUAUCCCAACAAGUAAAUAAAUGUUCCAACAAGGAACGGCCUCCAAUCUUCACCUGCAACUAGCAACGCUAUAAGAGGGGGCUGAGCAAAGCGGUAACAUAGCCAAUCAACGGUUUGCUAGGACAUGGUGGGUUAGAGGUUGACAUGGCAAUUUGGGAGGCUGACAAGCAAAAGGUAGGCAUCGUAGCAUUGGCAUAGCGAGAGCGAGCAAACUAGCAUAGCAAAGAUAGUAGUGAUUUCGAGGGUAUGAUCAUCUUGCCUGCACAGUUGUCAGAGUUGACUGGAUCCUCGAAAGCAAACUCAACGGGCUCCUCGGUAGCGAACUCGUCUCCCGGCUCUACCCAAACAAGACAAACAAGCAACAAGGAUACAAUCAACCACGUGCAAGAACAAGCAAUAUGAUGAAGUGAUGAUAUGCUAUGCGGGAUGCGAUGCGGGAUGCAAAAUGCAAGAUAUGACAGGAAAUGCAUGAACCUGGCCUCAACUUGGAAUUCCAAGGGUGCCACUGGAAAAAAUGAGAUGAAAUCGCUUGAAAACGAUAUAAAGAUCAUCGAAAUCGGAGUUACGGUUUGGAAAUGGCAAGCGAUUCAAAAAUUGACACCGGUCUGCGAUUUACAGCAAGUAGGCGUCUAAAUGCAAUGAGAUGAACAUGCUACAGCCACCAAACAUGACAACAAAAUGCAUGGCAGGGAUGUACAUAAGAUGCUUAACAAAAGUCUAGCACUGAGCUACGGCCAAUUCAUCCAUUAUGAGGUUCAAACAAGCAUGGCAAAAACACAAAUGCAAAACAGAUUCCAGACUUAGUGGAAUUAACACUUGUCUGAAAUUUCAGAUCACGAAGCCCUCUUCGGAGUAGCAAAACAACAUGAUACAUGACCUGAUUAAGACAAGUAAGAACAUGGCACGGAGCUACUCCACAAGCUUAACAAAAGACCCAAAGUGACCUCGGGCCAAAAGGGUUCACAAAAUAUACUAAAGGGCACACGAACAUAGCUAAAACACAAUUAGUUUUCAGACUUGGUGAAAACUGAGACAUGCUGAAAUAUAACUCACGAAGGCAUGUAAACAAGCUCGAUGCACUCACUACGGUGCAAGUCAUGGCAAGGCAAGCAUACACCCAUUAAGAAGGCACAAAACACAAGCUAGACAUGGCAAGAACAAUGGCAUAGCGUGCACGGAUCAACUACAAUAACAUCGGCAAAAUUGCAAACAAGUUGACGAUCUGCCCAGAUUCACAACGAAGUAAAAGUAGAGCUCGAUUGACUCAAGCUAGGGUGCUCCAUAAUUGCAAGUAAAGACAUGGAUGGAUAGAUCAUAACAUGAUUAACAAAACUCCUUUACUGAUCAUCCUAAAAAGAGGCACGGAUCACUAGGAAACAAGCUGAACAUAUGGCAUCAUGAACUAAAUAAUCCCAGACUUAGGGAAAACUACUAAGUCCCUGAAAACAGAUUUACCGGGUGCCUCACUUUGCAAGCUUGCACAAGACACCACACACAUCCUAAAAAUGCAUGGGUUGCACCUCUGGAAAGAUAACAAAAUUCUUAACAAAACAUAUGAAGGACUCACAGGCAUAGCAUGCACACAAUAAUCGUGGCAAAAAUGACAAAAGUCUAAGAUGAAUUAGCAGAUCUGGCAAUUAACUCACGAAGCCUCCUUCUAACAGCAUUUCGGGCAUCAAGACGCACUCAAAUGAAAAUGAUGCAAUGGGAUGAAAUGAUGUACUCGUCGAGAUGAACAUUUUGAUAUACUAUAUGCCCAAAUCGGAGCUACGGAUGCGGAGAUACGGCCGGUCAAAGUAGGCAUAAAAAAUUAAGGUUUGGAGGGAAAAGUCAACCGAGAUGCUCAGAUCUAGAUCCAGAUCAGGGCUGCACUAUUCAUCGGCGCCGGAGUCGAGGGAGGAGGCCGGAGCAGCGGGGAGAGGCUGGUGAGGGGGCGGCCGGAUCCGGUGGUGGCCGNNNNNNNNNNNNNNNNNNNNNNNNNNNNNNNNNNNNNNNNNNNNNNNNNNNNNNNNNNNNNNNNNNNNNNNNNNNNNNNNNNNNNNNNNNNNNNNNNNNNNNNNNNNNNNNNNNNNNNNNNNNNNNNNNNNNNNNNNNNNNNNNNNNNNNNNNNNNNNNNNNNNNNNNNNNNNNNNNNNNNNNNNNNNNNNNNNNNNNNNNNNNNNNNNNNNNNNNNNNNNNNNNNNNNNNNNNNNNNNNNNNNNNNNNNNNNNNNNNNNNNNNNNNNNNNNNNNNNNNNNNNNNNNNNNNNNNNNNNNNNNNNNNNNNNNNNNNNNNNNNNNNNNNNNNNNNNNNNNNNNNNNNNNNNNNNNNNNNNNNNNNNNNNNNNNNNNNNNNNNNNNNNNNNNNNNNNNNNNNNNNNNNNNNNNNNNNNNNNNNNNNNNNNNNNNNNNNNNNNNNNNNNNNNNNNNNNNNNNNNNNNNNNNNNNNNNNNNNNNNNNNNNNNNNNNNNNNNNNNNNNNNNNNNNNNNNNNNNNNNNNNNNNNNNNNNNNNNNNNNNNNNNNNNNNNNNNNNNNNNNNNNNNNNNNNNNNNNNNNNNNNNNNNNNNNNNNNNNNNNNNNNNNNNNNNNNNNNNNNNNNNNNNNNNNNNNNNNNNNNNNNNNNNNNNNNNNNNNNNNNNNNNNNNNNNNNNNNNNNNNNNNNNNNNNNNNNNNNNNNNNNNNNNNNNNNNNNNNNNNNNNNNNNNNCGUGGCGGCGCGGGAUUUGCGGGGCGGCGGCGGCGAUUUUUUGUCCGGCCGGCACGGACGUGUCCGGCGCGGCGCGGAGAUCUUUUUUUUGGCUAGGGUUUCGUAGGAGGAGAUAAUCCGAAAACGGGGGGGGGGGGUGUAUUUAUAGGCAUAAGUGGAGCUAUGAGAGUCCAAAUGAGGUGCGGUUUUCGGCCACACGAUCAUGAUCGAACGCUCUAGGACAUGGAGCAGAGUUUGGUGGGUUUUGGGCCAAAUUGGAGGGGUGUUGGGCUGCAACACACACGAGGCCUUUUCGGUCCCUCGGUUAACUGUUGGAGUAUCAAACGAAGUCCAAAUGACACGAAACUUGACACGCGGUCUACCGGUAGUAAACCAAGUCCGCUUGGCAAGUCUCGGUUCAAUCCGGAAAUUUUUAAUCCCCACACACGAAAGAAAGCUAGAAAUGACCACCGGAGGAGAACGAAGCGCCGGAAUGCAAAACGGACAACGGGGGAAAAGCUCGAAUGCAUGAGAUGAACACGUAUGCAAAUGCAAUGCACAUGAUGACAUGAUAUGAGAUGCAUGACAAAGAAAACAACACACGGAGACAAAGACCCGAACCCGAAAAAUAAAUAUAACAUAACGCCGGAAACGACAAGAGUUGGAGUACACAUAGGGAAAGUUACAUCCGGGGCGUUACAGACACAUGCCCAAAGAGGUCCAAAAUGGCUCCACAAACCCUGGACUCGAGCUUCACGGGCUUGAAUAAAAUCAUCACAUCGUCAGCAAACAUCGACACCCACUGAUGAACGCCAGAACGGGCUAGGGGUGCUAGCAUUCCUUUGGCCACAACCAAUUUGAAGAGAUACUGCAGCGGCUCCAUGCAGAGGAUAAAUAUCAAUGGGGACAGCGGAGCCCCUUGCCUUAGCCCUUGACAGUUGAAGAUUGGCUUUCUUGGUAUCUCGUUUACCACGAUCAUUGUGGAGGCAGUUGCUAAUAGCCCACACAUCUAGGAGAUCCAUCUCCUCCCAAAACCCAUCCAUGUUAAAACCUCCAAAAUAAACGGCCACUGAACAGAGUCAAAUGCCUUUGAUAUGUAAAGCUUUAGCAUCACUGUUGGUUCCUUCAACUCUUGCAAAUGCCUUGCCGUGGAUUGCACCAGCAUGAAGUUGUCGUGCAAAGAGAGUCCCUGGACAAACGUACUUUGAUAGUGUCCAACGAGCUUCGGGAGGUCCUCGGUCAAUCUUGUUGCAAGCACUUUUUCGAAUAUUUUGACCGCUCCGUGCACUAGGCUCACCGGCCGGUAGACCUGGAUAUCCACAACCCCUUCUCUCUUCGGCAAAAGCGACACAAUGGCCUUGUUGAUGCUCGGUAGCCCACGCAUAUCUCCAUGGAAGAAGUCGUGAAGUGCUCGCAUGAAAUCCCACUUGAUUAUAACCAGCAUGUCGCAAAGAAUCGACCUAUGAAUCCUUUAGGCCCCGGCGAUUUGUCCAUUGGCAUGGACUUGACCGUCUUUUCCACCUCUUCCGCCAAGAAGGGGACCUCAAGGUGCACCAAGUCCCUUGACAGAAGGCCUAGCAUAUCCAAGUCAAUGGUGUGUUGCCUUGCCGGCACUGAGCCAAAUAAGCCCGUGUAGUACUCAUUCACCAUCCCCGCAAUGCUUUCCUGCUCGGUGAACACCUCUCCAUGAUGAUGCAUGACCGUGAUCAUGUUCUUGCAUUUGUUAGCCGCGCAUGCCCGACGGAAGAAUUCCGUGUUUGCGUCCCCCUCCCUCAAGUGGAGGAGGCAAGACGUUAUCUAGCAAUCGUCUGCUUCAGAGAGCUCAAUCCCAGCAACUUCGUCUUCGGCAGUUUUCGUAGAUCAUACUCGUGGUCAAAGAGGGCCCUCGAGUCUGCAGCCAUAUCCAACCUGUAAAUAACUUCCAUUGCCAGGGCUACUUGAAAGCGCAUAUUUCCGAUCCACUUAUCGAUCCAAAAGAUAAGAAUGCGAUAAAGAUUCACGUGAAAGAAAAAACCACAGGACUUAAAAGAGCUCAAUGCGCCCUAUUUGUGCCUAACUAGUCAUACAAUUCAAGGUUUAAUUAGAUAGAAUUCAAGUCCAAGUGGAAUGUUCUGGGUGACAGCAUUUCGUUGACAUUUGGGCGAUGAUCAUGCCGUACGUACGUACGAACGUGCUGUGCCGUAAGUUGACCUAUCGACUCCGUACUUACCUAGCCCUAACCCUAUGCCUGUAGUCAGUUAUCUAAUACGUACUCCUUUGCCUAACCGACGAUACAACAAGAGUACGUGGUCAACUUUGGCACUCCGAUUAUUUUUUGCUGAUUGUUUUGUUAAAUCGCUCACCAGACUAGCCACUUGGUUGGCCCUCUGGUUAAUUAAUCAAGGAUUGUACGGUACACACAUAAGCAGGACGUCAGCUGGAACCAAGCAUGCAGUCUUGUUAGUAAAUGGUCAUCACAAUUUCUUUUUCAUCUUAAUCUUCUAUAACAAUGAUGACACGGCAAACUGUCAAGGUACACUCUGUGUCUAGUCACCAUUAUUAUUAUUUUUUAAAGGAAGGAUGAUUAUGAUCCGGAACAGAGAGUGCGCAUCCGUUGUACUCCCUCCAUUCAGAAAAACUUGUUCCUCAAAUGGAUGUAUCUAGCACCAAGUUAGUGUUAAAUACAUCCAUUUGAUAGACAAGCUUGGACAAGCUUUUCGGGACGGAGGGAGUAGCUAGCAUGUGGGCUUUCCCUGUCACGCGUUCUGGCCGUCCGAAGUUGAAGAUGCUCUUCUAAAACUUCGAUGCGUAUUUAACCUCCUUCGGAAUCAUAUACUCUCUUUCUCCCAAAACAACUUCAUACAAGUUUUAAUACAAAGUUAAUAUAAAAUUAAGUCAUUUAUUUUGAGACGGGGGAGCGGAGGGGGGGUAGUAUUUAGACCUAGGCAUUCGUCGGGCCGGGCCGAGCCUGACAAAGGCCGACGUACAAAGUCUAGGCCCGAGCCCGGCCUGGCCCGAUCAAAAAAACGCAUAUUUAAGCCCGAGCCUAGCCCGAGGAGACAAAAUGGAGCACUUUGGGGCCAGGCUGGGUCGGGCCUCUGUGUAAACUGCCUCAUUUCCUAGGCCCGAGCCUAGCCCAACAUACGCAACAGGCUCCAUUUCUAGGCCCGAGCCCGGCCCAGCCCGGCCCAGGUUUUUCGGGCUGGGUCGUCGGGCCAGGCUGCCCAUGCCCAAGUUUACUAGUAUUCAUCUCAUAAAAAAGAAAAGAGAAAAAAAAUCAUAUGGUAUUCCUUCCAUUCCAUAAUUCUUGUCGUGGUUUUAGUCCUCAUAAAACUCGAUAGUGCCUUGAGAGUCGAGGUGAACAUGUCCUUCCCCAACCCCAAAGCUUCUCUACACACAUGUGCGUCCGGAGUUUCUAGAUCAAUUAGCCAUCAAAAACAACCGUCGAUGCCCCCUGAAACAUUCCAUGCUCAUGACAACAACAGAUGCCCACCGCCCCUUUGCCCGUAACCUUGGCUACAACACCGUCCACAUUGAGCUUCAUGUAGAGGGAUCCAAGGCGAUGGAAGAUGAGCCUAGCUGCCCCCAUCAGUCUGGUUUGGCUAGGCUAAACCCUCAGCUCAUCCAAAUAUUGUCGUAUGAUUAGAUAGUAGAUAACUGACUAUGGGACUCUUCCUCGAGAAUCGUUUUCCGCCUUGUCCACCAAAUCGCCCACAACAUAACAAGAACUUCGAGGAAAGUAUCAUGGGGAGUGUGCUACUUGGUUACUUGUUCACCUUUGGUGUGGAACAAUAACAAUCACAAACGGUCAAAUUACACCCGUGUCGGCUAGAUAAACAGGGUCGUUUGCAUCUCUUUCAGAAAAAUGAGAAAACAUCAAUAAAACUAGUCCUUACAGACUAUAUAAAGAAAGGAACAAGUAUAUAUAAAUGAUAAUAUAAGCAAAGAUGAAUUGCGUUCUAUUUUUUCCGAAGACGAAUAGGUUUUCAAAAUAAUACUGUCUCCGUCCGGAAAUAUAAUUUUUAGGACAAAUAUUUUCGGACGGAGAGUAAUAAGCUAGCGCCGCAUCACCUGCAUUGACUUUUGCACGAUCCAAACCGUGCGAGCGAUCAAGUUGACUUAUCAACCCCCUGCGAUAAUACCGCUACCCAAUGCGCAUAAACAAUAUACGUACUGGUAUGUGCAGAGUACCGUACUUAUGCAGGACGGUUAUUGUUAAUCCUAGAUCCCACAGAGGACCAGACGAUAAUAUAUCCUACUCCGAGAUUCCGUUAUUGUUAAUCCUAUAAUCAUCGAUCGAUGUGGUCAAAUCAGAGCUCCGGGAGGAGAAGAAGUCUUCUCGUCCUUGCACCAUUCUCCUCUUCUUUCUUGGGGAGGUCGCAUUUGGCCUGGGUGGCCAGUACCGUGAGCUCUUCUAGAAAAAUAAAGAGGUAAUAGCACCCCAGGUACCCUAACUUGCACCCAAUGUGAUGAUCUAGUCCCAAACUUGCAAAACUAGACCAACUCAUACCCCAACUUGCAACCAAUGUGAUGUUUUAGUCCCAGGCCAAUCAUAGCUCGCCAAUUGGCUGCCAAGUGGCCGGCCCGGUCAGCGCCUGUAGUUUUGCACAAACCCCCCUGCCGUUUCACUCAUUCAACCCGCAGUACCCCCCACCUGAAUUAAAUCUGUCGGAUUCCAGUUGACGUCCGUUCGAGAGGGUUCACUUGGUCGCUGUCGGGGCGACAGAGCUCACGGGCUGGCGGGGCGAUGGUGACGUCAGCGUCCCAGGCGUCGUUGCCGCCGGUGAACGGCGGCGUGGAGGCACCGGCAUCUGCUCAUCUCGUCCGGCCGUUCGGAGCAUUCCCUCCUGAUUACUGUGAGCUCGACGCCCCGUCUCUCUGUUUUCUUUUCCUCCCUCUCCUCCCCUCUGCUUUACUCCUCUGAGCUCUGAGCUCGUCGCCCCGCCGUUUUCAGCUCGAAUCUCGUACAUUUGUGCUCGAAUCGGGGUCGUCUAGUGGUGUGAUUUGAGUAGGGUCAUGUAUUGCGAAGUGAAGCUAGGGUUUCAGCCGAUGAAUUUAGGUUUGGGUUCGACACGAUAACUAGGGUUUAUGGCGGACAAGUUAGAUGUUAAUGCCUUAUCUUGCUGUUGUAGCCUGUAUUCUGCUCGUCUGGUGAACAACUGUAGUUAACUGAAUCCUUUACACUGGAACUUGAUCAUGGUUCAGUUAAUCUUUUACUGUUGUUCAAGUAUGUUAUGCAAUUGACUAAUUUAUUCAGUUAACUGAAUAUUCAGUUAACUGACUAUUUGUUUAUGAACUGAUGCAUCUUUGUAUUGAAAACAGUGUGUGAUGCAGCAAAUGGAGAAAAGGUGGACAGUCCAUUUUUUACACUGGAACUUGAGCAUGGUGGAAUUUUCUAUGGCCUAAUCACAAACCUGGAGUACUGGAGCCCUUCUGUUGAGGUGUUAGACUUUGUUGACUCUGGCACUUUAUGUUAUGCAUUCCUUGAACAACACUUGGCUUGGUUGGGAUAUCCUGUGAGUGAGCACAUCAUCUACUUCACCAAACCAAAUAAACCAAUCUCAGAUGGGUUGAUCAGAAUUAGCAGUGAUGAGGAUGUGCAGCAUAUGAUCAGAGCCAGUGCUGAGCAUAAGGUGCUUGUAGUGCAGGUUGACCAUACAGAUUUCAUCAGCAACUUUAGGUCUGACUUGGUGUGCACAAGUUUUGAAGCAGCAAGUGCAUCCCCUUCCCAUAGCCUAGUUUCAGUCUUUGUAGAAGAUCCUUUGUCAGAGAUUGCAGCAAAUGGAACAGACCCAAAGAAUUUGCUUAUUGAGGGUGCUGAGCAGAACAUGCUAACUGAAGAUCCCUUGUUAGAUAUUGCACCAAUUGGAACAGACCCACAGAGUUUGCUUACGGAGGGUGCUGAGCAGAACAUGCUAACUGAAGAUGGAGAAACAGUUAUUGAAGAUGUAGUUGUAUCAGAUUCUGAUUUCAGUGACAGUGACUAUGACAUAGAUGAUGGUGAUGAUGAUCUGUAUGAUGACAACAUUGACUUUGAUGUUGAUGAAGAAGCAGAUCAGGAUGAGGAUGAUGUGGAGCCUGAAUAUUUCCUUGAGGAUGAAGAUCUCAACCUAUCAACUGAAGAAGCAGAUGAACUUAGGUACAAGUUUAAAGCUUUCAAUGCAAAGGUGGACAUGAUUUGCCCUGUGUUUAAAGUAGGGAUGGUAUUUGCUGAUGUGGUUGAGUUAAGACAUGCACUGACUGCAUAUUCAGUUAGAAACAGAGUGCAGAUCAAGAAGUUAAAGAAUGACAAGAGGAGACUUGAAGCAGUUUGUGAAGAUGGUUGCCCAUGGUAUCUGUAUGCUGGCAAUGACAACAGGACAGGGGGGUUUGCCAUCAAGACUUACUAUGGAGAACAUAUAUGUCAGAAGAAAUGGAAGAUAAGGUCACUGACAGCAAAAUUCAUGUGCAAGUAUUUCAUAAAUGAGUUCAGAGAUGACCAGAAGAUGUCACUAGGUACAUUUUCAAGAAAGAUCACCAAUGAAUUUCAUGUCACCCCUAACAGAUGGAAGCUAGCUAGGGCAAGAACUGCAGCACUUAAGGAGAUCCAUGGUGAUGAAGAAGAGCAGUUCAGUAGGCUUAGGGACUAUGGUCAUGAAUUGAGGAAUACCAACCCUGGGUCUACAUUUCUUCUGUCAACUGAGGUUGUUAGAGACAUAGAUUUCCCACAGGGCAGGAAAUGUCUGAAAACUCUAUAUUGGUCUUAUGAUGCAUGCAAAAGGGGUUGGCUCAAGGGAUGCAGGCCUAUUAUUUUCAUUGAUGGUUGUCACAUGAAAAAUAGGUUUAAAGGAGUGUUGCUUAGUGCAGUGGGUAUUGAUCCAAAUGACUGCAUUUUCCCCAUUGCAAUGGGUUGGGUAGAAGUAGAGUGCACCAGUUCUUGGGAGUGGUUUCUCACUACAUUGAGAGAUGACCUUAACAUCACAAAUACUGCUCCUUUCACUAUUAUGAGUGACAAGCAGAAAGGUUUGAUCAAUGCUGUGCAAAAAAUCUGGCCAGAUGCUGAGCAUAGGUUUUGUGUUAGGCAUAUUUAUCAGAAUUUCAAUGAGAAGCACAAAGGAGAGCAACUGAAGCAAGAUCUGUGGGCCAUUGCAAGAGCACCAAACAGGGUUAAGUGGAGCCAAAACUGUGAGAAAAUGGAUUCCCACAGUGCAGCUGCCUUCCAUUGGACUGAGAGACUAGAUCCAAAGACAUGGUGUAAAUCAUUUUUUAGUGUUUUUCCCAAGUGUGAUAUUCUGCUGAACAAUAACUCUGAAGUAUUUAACAGCUAUAUUCUAGAGGGCAGAGAGAUGCCAGUACUCUCCAUGCUGGAAUACAUUUUUUACAAGAUAAUGCAAAGGCUAGUGAGUAAACAGAGGGAGGCCAUAGAGAAGUGGGCAGGGCAGAGAAUAUGCCCAAAGAUCAUGAAGAAACUAGACAAGAACACUGAGUUUGCUGCUAAUUGCCAUGUCUCUGAAGCUGGCCAACAAUUGUUCAGAGUUCAGUCUGGUAACUCUAGCUAUACAGUUGACUUGUGCUUGCACACUUGUGACUGCAGGAGAUGGCAGCUCUCUGGAGUACCAUGUGGCCAUAGUAUAGCAUGUUGCAGGGAGGAGAGAAUUGACCCAGUGACAAUGGUUCAUGAAUGCUAUAGUGUGGAGAAUUAUCUUAAAGCAUAUGGAUACACUUUGGUUCCACUUAGAGAUCCAAAGCAUUGGGAGAAACAGAAUGGAGACAAGGUAUAUCCACCAGUUUUCACUAAACAGUUGGGAAGGCCAAAGAAAAACAGGAAGAAAACACCAGAAGAGAAGAGAAGCAGGAAUGGUGUUAGAUAUUUGAACAAAAAAGGUGUGACAAUGCACUGCUCAAUUUUUGGCAGAGCUGACCACAACAGGAAAGGGCACUACAGGUGGCAGGAAGCACUAGUUGCAGAAGGAGUAGAGCUUGUUGAUGAUAACUAUGAUGAUCCAUCAUUUCUUCAGGUAUGCUUCUGCUGCAUCUCAUUUUGCACAGUUGGCUGUAAUGCAUGAACUCUCUAAAAUGAGCUUAUCUGAACAUUUUUCUUUGCAGAACAUCUUUCCAAACAGGCCAGAUCCUAGGAUGGAUCCUACUGAGUCACCAACUAGCAUGGUUUUCAACAUGGCCAGCAGGGAAAGAGUAAGAAGACCUUCUCAAAGGGUCCAUGGCCCAUUGCCUGAGCUCUCUUCAUUUGUUGCUGCUGCUGGGGCUGAAAUACCACAACCCAGGGUGACUACAGAAAUGAAUGUUGCUAGGCAGACAAGGGCAAGAACUGAAGCUGACAUUGCAAGAGGAAAGAAAAGGAGAGGCAGAGGAGAGGUACAUCCAAAUGCAAGAAGAGGAAGGGGAGCAAGUGCAGUCUCAGCUCCAGGAAGAGGUGCUAGUGCAGAUGCAGGGUCAAGAGAGGGAGCAAGUGCGGGUGUUGGGAGAGGGAGAGGAGCAAAUCCAGGUGCUAGCAGAGGGAGAGGAGCAAAUGCAGGUGCUGGGAGAGGGAGAGGAGCAAAUCCAGGUGCUAGCAGAGGGAGAGGAGCAAAUGCAGGUGCUGGGAGAGGGAGAGGAGCUAAUCCAGGUGCUGGCAGAGAGAGAGGAGCAAAUGCAGGUGCUGGCAGAGGGAGAGGAGGCCAAGAAGGUGAGAGGGCAUGGUGGAUAAUGUUUGGAGAUGACAUUGCCAGUCAUAUUCCUGACCUAAAUGCUCCUCCUGAUGAUUUUCCUGCUGCCUGAUCUAGUGGCAGUUGUCAACCACCAUUUUUUGACAAGGCCUAUACUUAUGUAACUCAUAAACUGGCCUUAUUUUGUUAUGUCAAACUGUGGCAUACAUUCCCUCUUUUUUGAAGGCAAAUUGUGGCAUAUAUUGCCUAACUUCUGGAUGGCAAACCAUGGCAUACAGUGCCCUUUUUGUAAUUAAAUAUUAUAAUUAGGAGUUAACUGAAUUUCACUGAAUGUUGCCACAUGUCUGAAUUUUGCUGUUCACUGAAUUUAACUGAAUUCUGUGGUGUUAACUGAAGUGAAUUUUGCUACUAUUGACUGGAGAAAAAACCAAUAUACUGAAUUUAACUGAAUUCUGUGGUGUUAACUGAAGUGAAUUUUGCUGCUGUUAAGUGAGUACUGUAGUCAAUAGUGCUGUUGUUUAUAAAAAAAAUGUUUGUCCUGGGUAUCGAACCCAGGACCUGUGAAUAGCAAACCUAACUGCAUUGCCAGUGUGAUAGUAGUAGUGAUUUGUUCAGAUGGUAGCACGCACUGUAGUUAAGCAGACCCACCGUUCCACUAGUUCGUUCGCUCCGCCGAUUCGGUUUCCUAGUGCUUUAAAGCCAACCAACUCAACUCCACUAGCUCAACUCCACGCCACUCCACCUAGCUCCCAGUCCACCCACGUCGCAGCUCGCUCCUCGGUGCCCCCGCCACCCCCCGCUCCUCGGUNNNNNNNNNNCGGCGACGACGAUGCGCUCCGCGCGGACCUGAAGGAGAUAGCUCGCUGGUUCCCCUCCGGCCAGAUGCUCCUCCACCACGCGCUAGGCCUGGUAAAGGUCAUGACUGACGACGAGAAGCGUCGCGCCAUGCCCGCACCUGGCGUAGCUCCGGUCCUGGUCUUGCGCUUCGCAAUGGCGGAGACGCGGUCGGACGAUCCGAGGCAGCGCGCGCGGUGGUGGAUGUACCGCUCCGCCACCACACCGUCGCCGCACCCGGAUCCGUUCCGCGUUGCCUCCAGGAUGCAGCGCCUCCACGACGUCGUCCUCGCUGUCCCCGCGCCGGUGAACACCGCCUACUCCGACGAUGAAUCCUUCUCCGACGACACCGACUCUGACUCUGCCGAGGAGGAGAUUGAGGUAGUGCUGCUAUCUGACGACGAGCCGGACGACGUCGUCAUGCUGGCUCCCGUCGUCGCCGGCAACGAGGGCGACAGGCACCGCCCCAUUGACGUGGACCUGCUGCCAGAGAUGCCUGACUUUGUCAAGAAGGAGGUGCUGGAGGACGUGCUGACGGAGGUGGUGGACGGGCAAGCACGGGAUGCCUCCAAGAAGAGGAAGAAGCCGACGAAGAUUCCACUUGCAGGGGAGGUGCGCCGGUCCCAGCAUCUGAAGGAGCUCCAGAAAUGAAGAACUGAAGACUGCAGAAUGUAGUUAGGUAUGCUGAGUAGCAUAUAAGUUAGCAUAUCAGUUAGUAGUUAGGUGUGCUUCGUAUAUUGGUAGCACAUAAGUUAUUUGUAGUUUCGAAUGGGCUGGUUUGAACUACUUUUGGGUUGAACUUAUGCUGCAACUGUUGCCAUCUAAUUAUGUUGUUGUUGCUGUUGGUAGUUCUAUAUGCUGCUAAGAAAUCUUGCUGUUAAAAUGAGUUUACUAAAAGAAAUUCAGUUAAGCAAACUGAUACAAAUACAAAUUCAGUUAGAAUGAGUUUACUGAAAGAAAUUAGCUAAAUUAAGUUAAACUUACUGAAUACCAAUUCAGUCGUAGUUACUGAAUACUAAUAUUAGCCACUAACUAAAUUGGCUUGUUAUUAUUUUCGUGCCUAAAAUUAGCACACAACAAUGGGCUACCUCUGCCCACCUACCAUAUUUACCUCUGUCUACCUACCACCCACCCCUCUUAAUUCUAUAUAAAGCACACCAAAUGGCACAAACACCAGUCAAAGCCAAAUCUCUCACUUCUCCCCCCAGCCGCAAGAGAGAACCCAAUGGAUCCUGGAGAGGUAGUAGAUGCAGAAGAGGUACCCAGUGGAGCUAGGUGUAGAGAGGCAAGAAGGUUGCAAAGAAGGCAGCUGGCAGAGAGGAUCCUUGCAGCACGCAACCGCAAGGAUGUACAACAGUUCCUGGAGGCAUUCCCACCUGGAUCAAACCCCACUGAUGAUGAUAUCAUCUACUGGGCAAGGAGGAGGGCUAAUCUCCAUCCUUUUCAGUGCACUAGGCUGAGGUGGAGUAGGAUCCUCUACCCAGAUGAAUGAGCUCUUAAACACCCCAUUGCUCCUAGCUCUUCUAUCUAAGUAUGAAUGCACUGCAUGUCAAUGCAAGUCUAUCUAUGUAUGAGUGAGUGUUUUAUCUAUGUUUGUGACUGAGUGUGGUUUAUCUAUGUAUGAGUCAGAGUUUUAUCUAUAUAUGAGUCAGUGUUCUAUCUAUGUAUGAGUCAGUUAACUCUUAGUGCAAUGUACUAAAUCUAUACUACUUAUUCUCUGUUAGUUCCAAUUCUGGACAUUUUUACUAGAGUUUGCAUGUAACUGAAUCUUCACUGAACUGGUCAUUCAGUAAGUCACACAAAUUCAGUUAACUAAAAGCAAUUUCAGUUAACUAAAAGCAAAUUCAGUUAACUAAAAGCAAAUUCAAUUUACUAAAAGCAAAUGAAAUACAACUUGCAAAUUCUCUUAACUUGGGGCAGUCAUACAAAUUCACUUAACUAAAAGCGAAUUCAGUCUAAUACAACUUGCAACAACAUAACUUGGGUACUCAUACAAAUUCAGUCUAAUACAACUUGCACCAACAAUGAAUUACUCAGAUUCAUCUAAGAUCUCCUUCACCCUCCUUAUCUUGCUCUUGGUCUCCUCCUUGUGCCUGAAUAGAUCACCAAUCAUGUACUCUAGUUUCUUCUUCUCCUUCUUCAGCUCAUCCCUCUGUGACACCACUUUGUCCAACUCUUCCUUCAUGCUCUCCAUCUGUUGCUUCAUCUCAUCCCUCUCUUUCUCUGCCUUAGCCCUCACAACCUGAUGAAUGCUAGUGGUAGAUUUAUCAGCCAUCUUCUUCUUCUGAAGCUCUUCCUUUAGGUCAGAAAGAGCAAGUCUUGCAUUGCCCAAUUCAGUAACUGCCUGCUCCUUGUCACCCACCAUCUUAGCAAAAUCUAGUUUAAAAAACCUCAGAUCAUUUGCCAUCUUUUCCUUCUCUUUCACAACCCUAAAAUUUUCUUCAGCAAGAACUACACUUUCCCUGAGCCUCAGCUUUACCUCAUCAUCAUACAUUGCCCAAACCCUGGCUAAACUCAUCUUCAGAGUGUCUGGCCAUUCAGGGUCAAUCCACUCCACAAACUUGCAUUUAGGUAUUUCCUAACAAAUAAGAUAGAAUUCAGUUAGUUCAUUUGAUUUGGAUUCAGUUAAAUUUAGUCAUUCAUUUGAAUUCAGUUAAUUUCAGUUAAGUUCAGCUAUUUCAUUCUAAUUCAGUUAAGUUCUGUUAUUUCAUUUAAAUUCUGUUAUUUCAUUUCAAUUAAGUUAAGUUAAGUUAAGUUCUGUUAGUUCAUUUGAAAUUCACUUAAGUUCACUAACAAGAUGCUGUUAACUAAAGGAUUAAUUUAAGUUCACAAACUAGAUGCUCUUAACUGAAAAUGCACUCCUCCACAUUUACAUGGCACACUAUUAUACAGAUCAAAUGAACUCCUCCACAUUUACAUGACACACAUUGCAAGUUUGGUAGAUCUACUUACCUUUUGAGCACAAGCAAGAUACCUCCUUCCACUGUCAACUGAUUCAAAGCACACAAACUUCUCACACACACACUGGUGUUCACAUCUAGCUGCAAUAUCUGGAGCAAGGCCUGUCCACUCAGAGCAGAAAAUGGUGGCAGGAGCAGGAGCCUACAUACAACAUAUUCUUGUCACCAAACAUACAUUUUUGCUACUCAAGAACAUACAUUUCUGCUCAAUCCCUAUCUGCCAGAGACAUAGCCAAGAACUAACCUCACUUGUCACAGAGUAGCCGUCGGAGGACGAGCUCGAUCCGUCACUCCAAGAUACCAUGGAGGCGACCUGGACGGCGGCGGUGAGCUGGACGGCGGCGGCGAGCUUGCUGUCGGCGUGGAUAAGCUGAUGCUGGAGCCGCGGGGGCAAGGGGGCAGAUGGGGAACGAGUGGACCAGCAGAGCUCGAUUCCUUCGACAGAUUUAAUUCAGGUGGGGGGUACUGCGGGUUGAAUGAGUGAAACGGCAGGGGGGUUUGUGCAAAACUACAGGCGCUGACCGGGCCGGCCACUUGGCAGCCAAUUGGCGAGCUAUGAUUGGCCUGGGACUAAAACAUCACAUUGGUUGCAAGUUGGGGUAUGAGUUAGUCUAGUUUUGCAAGUUUGGGACUAGAUCAUCACAUUGGGUGCAAGUUAGGGUACCUGGGGUGCUAUUACCUCAAAAAUAAAGUAGAGGGAGAAAGUGACGGGCAAACCCGGAAUGCUAGCUGGUUCAGUUUAAGGCCAACUCCACCACGUGACCCAAAUUUACCUCAAAUCCUCUCUUUGUGUCUAUUUGGGAUAAAACGGACAAAACGAAUGACCUAACGCAUGGGAGCAUACGAACGUUUCGUCCGGUCUGUGUCCGCUUUUACCUCAUUUCCAGACCAAAGUUGCUCUCGGUUUGGGGCCAAAGCGGAUAAAAAGCGGACGUCUCCGCGUCCUCGUCGUCCGUCUGUGUUCGCCCUCGACCCCACCUGUCAGUCUCUCUUUUUCUCCUUUUCUGUACCUGCCCACCACGCGCACCAUGCCACUCCAGUACAACAGCAGCACCGGGCCCCCUCCAGUUCACACCCAUGGCGCCUCCGCCUUUGCUCUCCCUCUCCACGCUCCUUCUCCUGCUCGCCGUCGCCUCCCAUGCCUCUGCCAAGCCCGUCGGAAAUGCUCAAAGAAUGCCACCGUGACCGAGCUGCUUGCGUACCGGCUGGAGCGGGACGAGAAGAGGGCAGCACCGCUCUCUGCGGCCACCGGCGCGGCCAACGGCACGCGUCGCACCGGGGGAGGGGUCGUGGCGCCGGUGGUGUCCGGCCUGGCCCAGGGGAGCGGGGAGUACUUCACCAAGAUCCCGGGCACGCACACCUCGUACACCCACUGCCCGACGCGCUCAAGGCGCUGGCCCAGCUCGACGGCCUCGCCUUCUGCUACUUCUGGCUGCGCCUCUCCGGGCGCCGGAGCGACAGGCGCCACCGCGAGGGGGAGAAGGUCGCGCCUCUCCGGGCGCCGGAGCGACAGGCGCCACCGCGAGGGGGAGAAGGUCGCGCCUCUCCGGGCGCCGGAGCGACAGGCGCCACCGCGAGGGGGAGNNNNNNNNNNNNNNNNNNNNNNNNNNNNNNNNNNNNNNNNNNNNNNNNNNNNNNNNNNNNNNNNNNNNNNNNNNNNNNNNNNNNNNNNNNNNNNNNNNNNNNNNNNNNNNNNNNNNNNNNNNNNNNNNNNNNNNNNNNNNNNNNNNNNNNNNNNNNNNNNNNNNNNNNNNNNNNNNNNNNNNNNNNNNNNNNNNNNNNNNNNNNNNNNNNNNNNNNNNNNNNNNNNNNNNNNNNNNNNNNNNNNNNNNNNNNNNNNNNNNNNNNNNNNNNNNNNNNNNNNNNNNNNNNNNNNNNNNNNNNNNNNNNNNNNNNNNNNNNNNNNNNNNNNNNNNNNNNNNNNNNNNNNNNNNNNNNNNNNNNNNNNNNNNNNNNNNNNNNNNNNNNNNNNNNNNNNNNNNNNNNNNNNNNNNNNNNNNNNNNNNNNNNNNNNNNNNNNNNNNNNNNNNNNNNNNNNNNNNNNNNNNNNNNNNNNNNNNNNNNNNNNNNNNNNNNNNNNNNNNNNGGCACGGGGCACGGCGGCACGGGCGGCGGCGAGCUUGGGCGGACAAGGCGGCCGCGGCGGCGAGUUCGCUAUGCCUGCUACGUGUUCGAAGAAAUGACGAGGACGGACAGCUGGUGAAAUGGGGUAAAAAUGGGGUAGCAGCGCUGCGUGCAGCGAAUUUGUCCGGCCUCUAUCCGGCGUUUUUUCUCCCUAUUUGAUGUUUUUUUAAUGUUUUUGCAUUUUUGAUGGUGUGUCACACCAUAGAAAUUGACAUUUUUAUGCCAAGCCACACCUGGAAUUGACCGUUUUUACAGUGGGUGACUUAGGGCAUCUCCAACACCGAUCUUUAAACCUUCCGCAACCGUUCGGAUUGCGUGGUCUGAACAUGUGUUGUCAUUCAACACGGUCCUGCAUCGGUCCACAGGCCGGUCUAGAUGUGCUUUUUCACGCACACUAGAGACAAAGUGAAAGGAAUUUUGCGGGCAUCCGGACCGCUGCCACGUCCACGUCUGGCAACCAUGUCUCACCCAAAAUCCUUCUCCCAUGCAUGCAUGCGUUCCCGCCCAUAACCAGCUGCUCGCAUUCAUGUCGUUGUAGACCGGCUACUCUGGAUUGACGCCGGCCCAAAGCGGACGGGACAUCUCACUUCCGGCAUUGAAGCGGCGCAUCGGUCGGGAGAAUGUCGCCCGCUACACGUCCGGCUGAACACGCCUUCUCGCCGCGUUCAAACGGGUGCAGAAUGCCUGCCUUCCUUCAUUAAACCCGCGCAUGAGCCGAGAAACCUACUCCGGCCACACGUCUGUACGCUAGCCGACCGGCAUUAAACACAACACCGGUUGGCUCCGAGUGUCCGCCCGCUAUUUAACGAUGCCAGGCGCCGGGCAAAAAAUUGCACCAUACCUCCACUCCCCAUCCGCUCCUUGCACCAUUUUCUCUACACUUUUCAUGGCAUCCGAUGUGCAGGAAGAUGAGUUCUCCGUUAUAAAAGCCGGUUGGGUGACCCGCCGGCCCACCGGAUACGAGUGAGGAAACUCUCAGCUCCACCUCUGUUGUUGCUCCAGGCCGUUGCAGGCUAGCUCGUGGAGGCGGCCGCUCCAAGCCGGCGCGUGGUUCAGCAACUCGUCACUUCAAGCCAGCACACAGGAGAGCACGGCGGCACGAGCAUGGUGGCUGCAAUGGACGAGGUCGUGUCGUACCGCUCUUUGCGUGCCUGCGAGCCUGCGACCGUGCCCUACUGACGGAGAAAGAAGCCGGCUUCGCGGAGAUCGAUGAGGCGGCGGCUAGCACGUCCGCGUCUGCCACCAUCAUCAAGAAGAAGUAGAACAUGAGAGGCCGCCGUCACUUGGGUCCCACGAAGGCCACCACCGCGGCGUGCGGCGUGCAUAGUCGGUGGCUUGCCUGCUCGCAGGCCACCAUCGUUCCCCCGCCCAAAAACCAACCCUCAUCCGUGCUCCACGAAAGCGGAGGACACCCUUACCCUCCGGCUUAAGCAUAUCGCUCUGGUGCCACUCCGAUGAGCGGUGCUGCCGGACAUGGGAAAGCAUAAGCUACUCUUGCCCUUUUCGCUGAAGUAUAUACUUCCGGAGCUCACGGCAGUUUGAUGAAUGGGUUGCCUGCCGGACAUGGGAACGCAUAGGCUACUCUUGCCCUUUUCGCUGAAGCAUAUACUUUCGGAGCUCACGGCAGUUUGAUGAAUGGGUUGCCGUACAUGGGAAAGUCAAGGAAGAUCCGUUGCAUCCGGCAUCUGGUUUGUAUGAAGUUCGUUCGAUUUGUUUUAAACAGUGUCUGAAAUGUAUGCAAGUAGCGUUGGAUAGCCAACUCCCACAUCCACGUCCAUAGGACUGUCCCCUAUACGCGAAGGAUGCACGAGCAAAUUUGCAGGCCAGCGUUGGAGAUGCCCUUAGGGCCACUGGCAUGUUGGGCCCACAUGUCUAGUGACCCAAAGUUAUCUUACGUUUAAAGUCAGCCAAUCUGAGCCCCUUCGUGUCAAAUGUGUGCUUAAAAAGCUGAGCGAGAUUGCCCGUGAAUGAGGCCACCACGUCAUUACAUUAUCACCAUCAAUUGCCUGUUUUUUCAAGGGCCAGCUCUGAAGAAGGAAACGGUGGAGAGGAAAACCACAAGUCAACAAAUCAUCAGUUCAAAAAGAAAAGAAAAAUAAACAAAUCAUAAUCGCCAUCACAAAUCAUUAUCUCCAUAACAUAAAUGUUGCUAUGUUGUGUCUGAAGAAAUACAUUACGACUCAGUCUGCACAAUCGCACGACAAACGAAUAGGAGGAGCAUCACAACGACGACCACGACUCAACGCUGCACUUUGCCAGCACCAUCAGUUUCUGAACGGCAAGCCGCCCGUCCCAACUCCAUCCAUGGAGCACACCAUCUUUCACCCUAGAGAGCCAUUACUCCAAUGGCUGAACUGCUGCCGUGCAAUGCACGAUCAAUCCCUGACUGGAGACGCGCUGCUCCGGUAUUCCGGAGCAU